This 445-nucleotide ribosomal RNA is filed under the name uncultured bacterium. Its description in RNAcentral is "partial 16S ribosomal RNA". It matches the Rfam family "Bacterial small subunit ribosomal RNA", at positions 354 to 796 of the family's 1533-position model. The record is from RNAcentral.
GUGAGGAAUAUUGGUCAAUGGGCGGGAGCCUGAACCAGCCAAGUCGCGUGAAGGAAGAAGGAUCUAUGGUUCGUAAACUUCUUUUGCAGGGGAAUAAAGUGCAGGACGUGUCCUGUUUUGUAUGUACCCUGAGAAUAAGGAUCGGCUAACUCCGUGCCAGCAGCCGCGGUAAUACGGAGGAUCCGAGCGUUAUCCGGAUUUACUGGGUUUAAAGGGUGCGUAGGUGGUUUGAUAAGUCAGCGGUGAAAGUUUGCAGCUUAACUGUAAAAAUGCCGUUGAAGCUGUCGGAGUUGAGUGUAAAUGAGUUAGGCGGAAUGCGUGGUGUAGCGGUGAAAUGCAUAGAUAUCACGCAGAACUCCGAUUGCGAAGGCAGCUUACUAAGCUACAACUGACACUGAAGCACGAAAGCGUGGGGAUCAAGCAGGAUUAGAAGCCCCUGUAGUCC